Eriocheir sinensis (Chinese mitten crab) is the source of this 378-nucleotide long non-coding RNA. RefSeq lists it as uncharacterized. The transcript has 3 exons. The record is from RefSeq and is a predicted model, not a curated record. Lineage: Eukaryota; Metazoa; Arthropoda; Malacostraca; Decapoda; Varunidae.
GGAAGGAAGGUUAAAUGGAAUGGAUGGGAAGGGAAGGUUAGGGAAGGGAAGGGAAGGGAAGGAAGGUUAAAUGGAAUGGAUGGGAAGGGAAGGUUAGGGAAGGGAAGGGAAGGGAAGGAAGGUUAAAUGGAAUGGAUGGGAAGGGAAGGUUAGGGAAGGGAAGGGAAGGGAAGGAAGGUUAAAUGGAAUGGAUGGGAAGGGAAGGUUAGGGAAGGGAAGGGAAGGGAAGGAAGGUUAAAUGGAAUGGAUGGGAAGGGAAGGUUAGGGAAGGGAAGGGAAGGGAAGGAAGGUUAAAUGGAAUGGAUGGGAAGGGAAGGUUAGGGAAGGGAAGGGAAGGGAAGGAAGGUUAAAUGGAAUGGAUGGGAAGGGAAGGGAAGG